RNAcentral lists this ribosomal RNA (198 nucleotides) under Cronobacter sakazakii. Its description in RNAcentral is "partial 16S ribosomal RNA". It matches the Rfam family "Bacterial small subunit ribosomal RNA", at positions 1 to 205 of the family's 1533-position model. Lineage: Bacteria; Pseudomonadati; Pseudomonadota; Gammaproteobacteria; Enterobacterales; Enterobacteriaceae. The record is from RNAcentral.
UUAAUUGAAGAGUUUGAUCAUGGCUCAGAUUGAACGCUGGCGGCAGGCCUAACACAUGCAAGUCGAACGGUAACAGGGAGCAGCUUGCUGCUCUGCUGACGAGUGGCGGACGGGUGAGUAAUGUCUGGGAAACUGCCUGAUGGAGGGGGAUAACUACUGGAAACGGUAGCUAAUACCGCAUAACGUCUUCGGACCAAA